UACGUAGGGUGCAAGCGUUAAUCGGAAUUACUGGGCGUAAAGCGUGCGCAGGCGGUUUUGUAAGUCUGUCGUGAAAUCCCCGGGCUCAACCUGGGAAUUGCGAUGGAGACUGCAAGGCUAGAAUCUGGCAGAGGGGGGUAGAAUUCCACGUGUAGCAGUGAAAUGCGUAGAGAUGUGGAGGAACACCGAUGGCGAAGGCAGCCCCCUGGGUCAAGAUUGACGCUCAUGCACGAAAGC
This 237-nucleotide ribosomal RNA is filed under the name uncultured bacterium. RNAcentral describes it as "partial 16S ribosomal RNA". It matches the Rfam family "Bacterial small subunit ribosomal RNA", at positions 524 to 760 of the family's 1533-position model. The record is from RNAcentral.